Molecule: ribosomal RNA, 606 nt
Filed under: uncultured bacterium
Lineage: Bacteria
Description: bacterial SSU rRNA
Rfam family: Bacterial small subunit ribosomal RNA
Source: RNAcentral
CUUUGGAAUAACCAUUGGAAACGAUGGCUAAUGCCGAAUAUGACCUCCUUUCGCAUGUUUGGAGGUGGAAAGCUCCGGCGGAGAAGGAUGAGCUCGCGGCCUAUCAGCUUGUUGGUGAGGUAAUGGCUCACCAAGGCAUUGACGGGUAGCCGGCCUGAGAGGGUGACCGGCCACACUGGGACUGAGACACGGCCCAGACUCCUACGGGAGGCAGCAGUGGGGAAUAUUGGACAAUGGGCGAAAGCCUGAUCCAGCAACGCCGCGUGAGGGAUGACGGCCUUCGGGUUGUAAACCUCUUUCAGCAGGGACGAAGCGAGAGUGACGGUACCUGCAGAAGAAGGACCGGCCAACUACGUGCCAGCAGCCGCGGUAAUACGUAGGGUCCGAGCGUUGUCCGGAAUUAUUGGGCGUAAAGGGCUCGUAGGCGGUUUGUCGCGUCGGGAGUGAAAACUCAGGGCUCAACCCUGAGCGUGCUUCCGAUACGGGCAGACUAGAGGUAUGCAGGGGAGAACGGAAUUCCUGGUGUAGCGGUGGAAUGCGCAGAUAUCAGGAGGAACACCGGUGGCGAAGGCGGUUCUCUGGGCAUUAUCUGACGCUGAGGAGCGA